Molecule: ribosomal RNA, 774 nt
Filed under: uncultured bacterium
Lineage: Bacteria
Description: bacterial SSU rRNA
Rfam family: Bacterial small subunit ribosomal RNA
Source: RNAcentral
GCAAGUCGAGGGGAACGGCAUUGAGUGCUUGCACUCUUUGGACGUCGACCGGCGCACGGGUGAGUAACGCGUAUCCAACCUUCCCAUUACUGUGGGAUAACCUGCCGAAAGGCAGACUAAUACCGCAUAGUCUUCGAUGACGGCAUCAGAUUUGAAGUAAAGAUUUAUCGGUAAUGGAUGGGGAUGCGUCUGAUUAGCUUGUUGGCGGGGUAACGGCCCACCAAGGCUACGAUCAGUAGGGGUUCUGAGAGGAAGGUCCCCCACAUUGGAACUGAGACACGGUCCAAACUCCUACGGGAGGCAGCAGUGAGGAAUAUUGGUCAAUGGACGGAAGUCUGAACCAGCCAAGUAGCGUGCAGGAUGACGGCCCUAUGGGUUGUAAACUGCUUUUGUAUGGGGAUAAAGUUAGGGACGUGUCCCUAUUUGCAGGUACCAUACGAAUAAGGACCGGCUAAUUCCGUGCCAGCAGCCGCGGUAAUACGGAAGGUCCAGGCGUUAUCCGGAUUUAUUGGGUUUAAAGGGAGCGUAGGCUGGAGAUUAAGUGUGUUGUGAAAUGUAGACGCUCAACGUCUGAAUUGCAGCGCAUACUGGUUUCCUUGAGUACGCACAACGUUGGCGGAAUUCGUCGUGUAGCGGUGAAAUGCUUAGAUAUGACGAAGAACUCCGAUUGCGAAGGCAGCUGACGGGAGCGCAACUGACGCUUAAGCUCGAAGGUGCGGGUAUCAAACAGGAUUAGAUACCCUGGUAGUCCGCACAGUAAACGAUGGAUGCCCG